This 467-nucleotide ribosomal RNA is filed under the name uncultured bacterium. RNAcentral's name for it is "partial 16S ribosomal RNA". It matches the Rfam family "Archaeal small subunit ribosomal RNA", at positions 392 to 861 of the family's 1478-position model. The record is from RNAcentral.
CUCGUAAGAGUUGGCUGUUUUUGUGUCUANACGCAUAGAGAGUAAGGGCUGGGUAAGACGGGUGCCAGCCGCCGCGGUAAUACCUGCAGCUCANGUGGUGNNCGCUAUUAUUGGGCCUAAAACGUUCGUAGCCGGUUUGNUAAAUGCCUGGGUAAAUUGUGUANCUAAACUAUACAAAUUCCGGGUANACUGCUAAACUUGAGACCGGGAGAGGCUAGAGGUACUCCUGGGGUAGAGGUGAAAUUCUGUAAUCCUGGGGGGACCACCAGUGGCAAAGGCGUCUGGCUAGAACGGGUCUGACGGUGAGGGACAAAGCCCUGGGGCGCAAACCGGAUUAAAUACCCGGGUAGUCCAGGGUGUAAACGCUGCUUGCUUGAUGUUAGUUGGGCUCCGAGCCCAAUUANUGUCGGANAAAANUUGUUAAGCAAGCUGCCUGGGAAGUACGGCCGCANGACUGAAACUUAAAG